CCUACGGGUGGCAGCAGUGGGGGAUAUUGCACAAUGGGGGAAACCCUGAUGCAGCGACGCCGCGUGGGUGAAGAAGCGCCUCGGCGCGUAAAGCCCUGUCAGCAGGGAAGAAAAUGACGGUACCUGAAGAAGACGCCCCGGCUAACUACGUGCCAGCCGACGCGGUAAUACGUAGGGGGCAAGCGUUAUCGGGAUUUACUGGGUGUAAAGGGGGCGCAGACGGCGAUGCAAGCCAGGAGUGAAAGCCCGGGGCCCAACCCCGGGACUGCUCUUGGAACUGCGUGGCUAGAGUGCAGGAGGGGAAGGCGGAAGUCCUGGUGGAGCGGUGAAAUGCGUAGAUAUCAGGAGGAACACCGGUGGCGAAGGCGGCCUGCUGGACUGCAACUGACGUUGAGGCCCGAAAGCGUGGGGAGCAAACAGGAUUAGAUACCCUAGUAGUC
Molecule: ribosomal RNA, 440 nt
Filed under: uncultured bacterium
Lineage: Bacteria
Description: partial 16S ribosomal RNA
Rfam family: Bacterial small subunit ribosomal RNA
Source: RNAcentral